CCUACGGGUGGCAGCAGUGGGGAAUAUUGCACAAUGGGGGAAACCCUGAUGCAGCGACGCCGCGUGAGUGAAGAAGUAAUUCGUUAUGUAAAGCUCUAUCAGCAGGGAAGAAAAUGAUGGUACCUGAGUAAGAAGCCCCGGCUAACUACGUGCCAGCAGCGGCGGUAAUACGUAGGGGGCAAGCGUUAUCCGGAUUUACUGGGUGUAAAGGGAGCGUAGGCUGUGAGGUAAGUCAGCGGUGAAAUGCCCCGGCUCAACGGGGUGAAGUGCCAUUGAUACUGCCUUGCUGGAGUGCGAAUGCCGUAGGAGGAAUGUGUGGUGUAGCGGUGAAAUGCAUAGAUAUCACGCAGAACACCGAUUGCGAAGGCAUCUCACGAAUCCGCGAUUGACGCUGAUGCACGAAAGCGUGGGUAUCAAACAGGAUUAGAUACCCUGGUAGUC
RNAcentral lists this ribosomal RNA (441 nucleotides) under uncultured bacterium. RNAcentral describes it as "partial 16S ribosomal RNA". It matches the Rfam family "Bacterial small subunit ribosomal RNA", at positions 338 to 795 of the family's 1533-position model. The record is from RNAcentral.